Long non-coding RNA from Mugil cephalus (flathead mullet), 104 nucleotides. RefSeq lists it as uncharacterized. The record is from RefSeq and is a predicted model, not a curated record. The transcript has 3 exons. Lineage: Eukaryota; Metazoa; Chordata; Actinopteri; Mugiliformes; Mugilidae.
GGACACACUUUUCUGUGUGUGCUGUUGUUGACCUUGUUGGAUACACUCCUCUACUGUGGACAUGCUCAAGAUGCUGUGCUGACUACUGACCCCUACUGGUCACC